GACGAACGCUGGCGGCGUGCUUAACACAUGCAAGUCGAACGGAAAGGCCCUGCUUUUGUGGGCUGCUUGAGUGGCGAACGGGUGAGUAACACCUGGGUAACCUGCCCUUGACUUUGGGCUUACCUCAGGAAACUGGGGGUAAUAACGGAUAGGUACUCCUCCUGCAAGGUGUCGGUUGGAAAGUUUCGGUGGUUGGGGUUGGACUGGCGGCUUAUCAGCUUGUUGGUGGGGUAGUGGCUUACCAAGGCAUUGACGGGUAGCCGGACUGGGAGGGUGACCUGCAACAUUGGGACUGGGAUGCGACCCGGACUCGUACGGGAGGCAGGGGUGGGGAAUAGAGCACAAUGGGCGGAGGGCUGAUGCAGCAACGCCGCGUGCGGGAAUACGGCCUUCGGGUUGGAAACCACUUUCGCCUGUGUCGGAGCGUGAGGGACGGAAAUGGGUAAAGAGGUACCGGUAAAUAAGUG
RNAcentral lists this ribosomal RNA (467 nucleotides) under uncultured bacterium. RNAcentral describes it as "partial 16S ribosomal RNA". It matches the Rfam family "Bacterial small subunit ribosomal RNA", at positions 28 to 507 of the family's 1533-position model. The record is from RNAcentral.